UUGGCUGCAACUUCCAUUUCAUUUGCAGACCUGAGCAGAAUGCUGCUUUGUCUAUAAUUAAAAGAAACAUCCCAUUGAAAAGAUUCAGUUACCUACUGUCAACCAAAGUCAGAAAAUAGUUGGAGAAAUCUGGAGAAGUCUGGCUGGGAAGGGAAGAAGAAGCAGGAAAUCAGGGCUAAGCCAAGACGUACAGCUGGAGCAGGAGUCAGAACGGGCUGGCAGAGAGCGCUGAGCUCCCAGCAGGGGAAGAAACCAAAGAACAUGGAGGCUCCUGCGACGAGAGGCCUGUAGGUUUUGGGCGCCCACCCUGCUACUGUAGAAUGGUUCUUGGCAAUAGAUUUCUCAAUUUCCUUCUCCAGUUUAAUUUUUUAAUAACUGAGUACAGUUAAAAAUAGAGUAAGAUCACAGUCUCCCAAGCACAGUUCCUUUUUUAUUUGUGGUCCCCAAGAGGAGUCAAAAGUAAGAGCAGGGACUGGGGGGUACCCUGUGUGUCCUGGCAUCAUUUCACGGAAGGUAAGGCCAUGUCACCACAUCCCCAGUACAGGGCUGGCCCGGCAUGGUAUCCGCAGGAAACAGUGAUCGAGCCCUCCUUCCUCCUACGUCCCCACCGCAUCCUGGGCAACAUUUUCUCUCUUAACUAUAACCGCUGAGUAUUUGUAUUUUUCAGGGAACCUCAGGAGACGUAAAGCCUUUAAGGUUUAAAGGACUGAAUCUCUUCCGGUGCAAUUUCUGGAAUUAUAAGUAUUUUUUUUUCCUUUCUUCAUUCAUUCAUUCAAUACGUAUGUUUUGAAUUCCGGGCAUAGCGCUAGCCAUGGAGACCAUAGUGGUGGGCAACGCAGACACGACCCUGUCGUCACAAAACUUCAAGUUUAAAGAAGACAGACUAAUAAAAUAAUCACAGAAACGAAUAUGUGCUGCGAAGCAGUAGGAAGUGCCCCGCAGUCUGAUUCCCCUAGCAGAGAG
This is a long non-coding RNA of Gorilla gorilla gorilla (western lowland gorilla), 963 nucleotides long. RefSeq lists it as uncharacterized. Lineage: Eukaryota; Metazoa; Chordata; Mammalia; Primates; Hominidae. The transcript has 3 exons. The record is from RefSeq and is a predicted model, not a curated record.